Aegilops tauschii subsp. strangulata is the source of this 1921-nucleotide non-coding RNA. Lineage: Eukaryota; Viridiplantae; Streptophyta; Magnoliopsida; Poales; Poaceae. The record is from RefSeq and is a predicted model, not a curated record.
AAGGAGUAUAAAUAAAUACUGAUCACCACAAGCAAAAAUCCCCUUCCCAGUUCCCACCCUCUCACAUCCACACCAGCGGAAAAUAGUAGUAAUCCCCGCCGCCCAACCCCCACCCUCCCCGGCGCGUGCGCUUGCGAUGCUUCCGCGCCGGCGUCGGCCACGGGUGGUGCAGUGAUGGUGGGCUUCUUCCGCAGCGGCAACCUUGCCUCAAGGGUGUUCGACCGGCAGUUUCUCUCUCCGCGCCCCGGCGCAACCGUUAAUACUGUCAGACAAUUCUAUGAGAAUUUGGUUCCAAGUUACACUAUAUACGACAUAGAUUGUCCAGACUAUUCAUUUCGCAAGUUCACCGAUGAUGGCAAGUAUCUUGUGGCCUUUAGUCGAAACCACCAAGAUUUGAUUGUGUACCGUCCCAUCUGGUUAACGUUUUCAUGCCACGAAGAAUGUGAUGCUCAUGAUCUUCCGGCCAAUGCAGAGAGAUUUGAGAGUUUCUUUAAGCAGCUCUACUCAAUCUCACUUGCAUCCAGCAAUGAGUACAUUUGUGAGGACUUUUUCCUUUACAUGGAGGGCCAUCAAUAUGGCUUAUUUGCAACGUCAACUGCACGAAGUAAUGAAUCAAGUGUCACUGAGGGUGCAAUUCACGGGGUACCAUCAAUUGAGAAAAUAACUUUCUAUCUUGUAAGGCUAGAAGAUGGUGCAAUACUAGACGAGAAAGCUUUCUGCAAUGAUUUUAUCAAUUUGGCUCAUAGUAUUGGUGCAUACUUGUAUGAGGAUCUGGUUUGCAUUGUCUCUCUUCGAUAUCAAACAAUACAUGUCCUACAAAUCCGAGAUUCAGGCAGCCUUGUUGAGGUACGGAGAAUUGGUGCAUUUUGCCGGGAAGAUGACGAACUAUUUCUUUAUUCACAUGGCCAGGCUGCACAAGGGAGUUCUUUUCUUCCUGGCAUCAAGCAACGGUUGCUAUCAUUUAUUUUCCACAAGACAUGGAAUGAGGAACCUGAUCAGGCUUUGAGGGUCCAGCACCUGAAGAAGAAAUUUUAUUUUCACUUUCAAGACUAUGUGGAUCUUAUCAUAUGGAAGGUACAGUUUUUGGAUCGCCAUCACCUAUUUAUCAAGUUUGGUAGUGUCAAUGGAAGGGUUACUCGAAGCACUGAUCAAAACCUAGCAUUCUUUGCUGUGUACAACAUGGAGACGACAGAGAUUGUGUCACUCUAUCAGAAUUCUUCGGAGGAGCUGUAUUCAUUGUUUGAACAUUAUUAUGAUCAUUUCCAUGCAAAUCCUCAAAAUUCUUUGCAUGAGAAAUUUAUCUCGUCCAAUCCCAAUAGUGUUCAUGCUCUUGAUCAACUCCGCACCAUUAAAAGUAAAGCAAGCAGCCCCUCACAGUUUGUGAAAAAGAUGAUGGCGUCAUUGCCUUACACUUGCCAAUCACAAAGUCCUUCACCAUACUUUGAUCUGUCAAUUUUUCGUUAUGAUGAGAAGUUGGGAGAGUGAAGAUGCAGCUACAUUGCCAUUGAGAGGGGUGGUUGCUGGCGAUCUGAGGAAAGAGAAAUGAGAGAGUAGGUGCGGUUGGCAUGAAGGAAAAGAGUGGUGCGGUAUUAAAUUUUUAGUUCAAUUUAUUUUGAUGAGAUCGGCGCUGAGAGAAGCAGUGGCAGGCGAUUCAAAUCGGGAAGCUGUUUUCAGCAAUUGAUCGGCAUAGGCAUUGCACAGAGCAUCCGAUAAAAUUUAUAUCAGUGAGGCAACCAAAUGUCGUCAAAUUUAAGAUAAAACCAGGGUCAGAUUCUGGUGCUUCCGACAGCCGCGGAAAAAGAAUCUCUUCCUUGUUUCACCCAUUUUUCCCGCUUGCACUGUCGAUUCAGCAGACAAAUAUGCAGCCAACUGUUGUCAAUGUACAUUUCAGGAGAUAGAAAUAUUAUAGUCGUUGCCUCAA